RNAcentral lists this ribosomal RNA (384 nucleotides) under Jaera albifrons. RNAcentral describes it as "16S ribosomal RNA". Lineage: Eukaryota; Metazoa; Arthropoda; Malacostraca; Isopoda; Janiridae. The record is from RNAcentral.
UGUGCUAAGGUAGCAUAAUAAUUUGUCCUAUAAUAGAAGGCUGGAAUGAAUGAGUUGACGAUAGAUAUACUUUAUCCUAAGGUGAGUAUUUGAAUUUAAUAUGUAAAUAAGAAAGUUUAGUUAAUAUUAGUGGGACGAUAAGACCCUGUGAAAUUUAAUUUGUAGUGUUGUUUUUUUAGAAGAUUUUAAUAAGGAUAUACGAAUUGAACUGGGGCGGUAAAUCGAAAUGUCUGGAUUAAUUAUAACACGGUUUGUGAAAAUUUAGGUCUAUUUAGAUUAUAGAAAAAAUUACUCCAGGGAUAACAGCACAAUUUUUUUAGCAGAUCUUAUACACAAAAAAGACUUGUGACCUCGAUGUUGAAUUGAAGAGUCUAGAAUAAGCAA